AGUGAACGCUGGCGGUAGGCCUAACACAUGCAAGUCGAACGGCAGCACAGUAAGAGCUUGCUCUUACGGGUGGCGAGUGGCGGACGGGUGAGGAAUACAUCGGAAUCUACUUUUUCGUGGGGGAUAACGUAGGGAAACUUACGCUAAUACCGCAUACGACCUACGGGUGAAAGCAGGGGAUCUUCGGACCUUGCGCGAUUGAAUGAGCCGAUGUCGGAUUAGCUAGUUGGCGGGGUAAAGGCCCACCAAGGCGACGAUCCGUAGCUGGUCUGAGAGGAUGAUCGCCCACACUGGAACGGAGACACGGUCCAGAGUCCUACGGGAGGCAGCAGUGGGGAAUAUUGGACAAUGGGCGCAAGCCUGAUCCAGCCAUACCGCGUGGGUGAAGAAGGCCUUCGGGUUGGAAAGCCCUUUUGUGGGGAAAGAAAAGCAGCAGGUUAAUACCCCGCUGUUCUGACGGUACCCAAAGAAUAAGCACCGGCUAACUUCGUG
This 492-nucleotide ribosomal RNA is filed under the name uncultured bacterium. RNAcentral describes it as "partial 16S ribosomal RNA". It matches the Rfam family "Bacterial small subunit ribosomal RNA", at positions 29 to 507 of the family's 1533-position model. The record is from RNAcentral.